CAUAACAUUAAGAGUUAUUUUUUUUAUGUAUUAUCACAAACUUAGUUUGUGGUAUUAUAAAAUACAUAUCUGUACACCAGAAGCUAAGUAUUUACCUUUUACACAUUUACCUUUAGGAAACAAAACACAGUUUCGAGAAAAACGAAUUUAAAGUUCUUUUUUGAAGUUGUUUCCUAAUUACUCGGUUAUUUUUAAACCUCUAAUUGUAAUAUUUGGUAUAUGAAUAUAUUUUCGACUUAAUGAGGUAAAAAAUGAUAGAAUCACAAAAAGUUAAGUAAUUUAUAGAGUGCCUAUAUAUCUCAAAUAUGCCAAUUUUAUACUUACAUCGCUUGUAGGGUACAGAUAUACAGGGUGGCGCACCUCAUUCACCUCGGUCGAUUAUACAAAAACGGAAAGAUGUAGAAACAAAGUAUUUUAUAGGUAUAUGCCUUGAUUAUGUAUAAAUAGAUGUACAAUGAGGGCUUAGUACAAGCCCGUCUUCUAGGUGGCGCCUUGCCCGUUCUGAAUUUUUGUAUUCCCCUACGAUUUUCUUUGAGGGGAAUCCGUUAAACCCGCCCAUCGUUCAAAAAUGGAAGGGCGCGAGGUCACAUCUAUUGGGCCACUUAUUAGCACGUUUCACCCAUGUUUUACGAAAAUAGCUUUAUCCUUGUUUGUUUCAACUGUGACAAGAAAAAAGGAAAAAAAGUUAUAUUCGCUUCUAAAUUCGGCAGUUUUGUUGAUCUUUCUCGACUUGUAAUUUCGUUUCGUUUAGGUUAUGUCUUAUAAAAAUAAAUAUUUAUAAGCUUUUGAAUUGAAAUAUACCUUAAUGCAUAUCUGAGUAAUUAAAAAAAUCAGUUUUUUCGUUCCUCGCGAAGAAACAUAAACAGUAUUUGUGAAAUUUGGAUUAGAAACUAUUAUUUUAUUAGUUUAUUUUGUUGUGUUUAAGUGUUGUGUAUUUGUACCUACUGGAUAAUAUUUUCCAACAUAUUUAAUUAAGCAAAAAGCAUCUGUUUUACAGGUGUGACUGCUAAGUGGUCGUACUCGCCACUUUAACCAAGCAUUGGUGGGACCUUCAGAGAUCAUAAUGCGAAUUUCUUCAUACCAUGUAAAUCUAUAUACAUGUAUUAAUAAAUGCGUUUGCUUUA
Sitophilus oryzae (rice weevil) is the source of this 1124-nucleotide long non-coding RNA. RefSeq lists it as uncharacterized. The transcript is spliced from 2 exons. NCBI's taxonomy places the organism in Eukaryota, Metazoa, Arthropoda, Insecta, Coleoptera, Curculionidae. The record is from RefSeq and is a predicted model, not a curated record.